This 253-nucleotide ribosomal RNA is filed under the name uncultured bacterium. RNAcentral describes it as "partial 16S ribosomal RNA". It matches the Rfam family "Bacterial small subunit ribosomal RNA", at positions 524 to 776 of the family's 1533-position model. The record is from RNAcentral.
UACGAAGGGGGCUAGCGUUGCUCGGAAUUACUGGGCGUAAAGCGCACGUAGGCGGCUUUUUAAGUCGGGGGUGAAAUCCUGGAGCUCAACUCCAGAACUGCCUUCGAUACUGGAAAGCUCGAGUCCGGGAGAGGUGAGUGGAACUGCGAGUGUAGAGGUGAAAUUCGUAGAUAUUAGGAAGAACACCAGUGGCGAAGGUGGCUCACUGGUCCGGUACUGACGCUGAGGUGCGAAAGCGUGGGGAGCAAACAGG